Molecule: RNA transcript, 2857 nt
Organism: Camellia sinensis
Lineage: Eukaryota; Viridiplantae; Streptophyta; Magnoliopsida; Ericales; Theaceae
Gene name: transmembrane and coiled-coil domain-containing protein STS1
Source: RefSeq, a predicted model, not a curated record
UGUAGAGGUAGUGCAAUAAUAUCUGUUUCGUUGAGAAAAAAAAUUACUUGCAUGCAAUAUCUGUUGGCGUGGUUGGCUUGGUCGUGAAUGAGGUGAUUAAUCAAAUGGAAGAAUUUCAAUUGAGAGUUGUCUAGAAUUUCCAUUCAGAAUCCACAAAUUCAUCAUCAUGCAAUUGAGAGUUGUCUAGAAUUUCCAUUCAGAAUCCACAUAAUUCAUCAUCAGCUGAUUAAAAUCGAGAGAUCAAAUUCCAAUCCAAUGGCGUCGAUGUUAUCGCAGACGCAGAGGUACGCCGCCGGAGGUCUGUUCGGGCUGGCCCUCCACCAGGCUCAGAUCCACCAGACCCGCCCAUUCCCCUCCUCCUCCGCCGCCGAUCGCAUCGGCAUCGGCAUCGGCAUCAGCAGCAGCGACUCUGCCCCCGAGGAACCCCAGCUUUGGGUCCACGAGUCUUCCGGCCUUCUCCGCCCUGUAUUCAGGUUCUUGGAGAUAGAUAAUAAGGCGUGGUCCAGGCUUGAGGAAACUGUUGGGUCUUCUCCUGCUAAGCAUCAUAUUGGAGAGUUCUUGAAAUUACUCUCAGAAGAAAGCUGCAACACCUCAGAAAUAAUGGGUAAGGAUACCUCCUCAGAAAUGAAGUAUAAGGAUCCAAAAGAAAUGAAGGAAAAGGAACUUGCCUUGUCGAAAGCUAUUGAUGUCAUGGCACAAACCAUGGAAACAAUUCCUCCUGAUUGUGAGUCUGAGAUGGAAAAGCAUUGUAAGUAUGAAAAUGAUCAUCAGCAGAAAUGUUCUAUUGACAGGCAAUCAAAAUCUGAAGUGCCAAAAAUGGACCUUGGAACUCCAGAGGAGACCAAUCAUAAUAUGAUUAGCAUUGAAAAGGCAACUAAUCAGUCUGACAGUCAUAUGGAUGAAAAACCUUUAGAGGAGGUAAUGAUACUUAGUUAUCAUAGGAAAGUGACAGUUCUGUAUGAACUUCUUUCAGCUUGUCUGUCAGAUAUACCUGAAGGUAACAAAUAUUCUAAACAACGAAGAAAGGGCUAUGAUGCUCGACAUCGCGUAGCUCUGCGGUUGCUGACAACCUGGUUUGACAUCGAGUGGAAUAAAAUGGAAGCCAUGGAGAUUAUGAUUGCUUGCUCGGCAAUGGCUUUAGCAAAAGGGGAACAAUCAAAAGAAGGAGAUACCCAAUCACCAGACAGCUCUUGGGACAAGUGGAAACGUGGAGGUAUAAUAGGUGCAGCUGCAUUAACUGGAGGAACCUUAAUGGCAAUUACUGGCGGGUUAGCUGCUCCAGCUAUUGCCGCGGGUUUAGGUGCCUUAGCACCUACAUUGGGCACCCUCGUCCCUGUGAUAGGAGCAAGCGGGUUCGCUGCAGCUGCAACUGCUGCAGGAACUGUUGCCGGUUCGGUUGCAGUGGCUGCAUCAUUUGGAGCCGCUGGAGCUGGACUUACUGGGUGUAAAAUGGCUAGGAGAACUGGAAGCGUUGAUGAAUUUGAGUUCAAAGCUAUUGGGGAAAAUCACAACCAAGGCCGGCUCGCAGUUGAGAUCUUGGUAUCGGGACUUGUUUUUGAGGAGGAAGAUUUUAUCAAGCCCUGGGAAGGACAACAUGAUAACUUGGAAAGGUAUGCGCUGCAGUGGGAGUCUGAGAAUCUGAUUGCUGCAAGCACUGCAAUUCAGGACUGGCUUACAUCAAAAGUUGCUGUGGAGUUAAUGAAGGGAGGUGCCAUGAUGACUGUAUUAAGUACUCUUAUGACAGCAUUGGCAUGGCCAGCAGCAUUACUUACUGCUUCUGAUUUUAUUGACAGCAAAUGGGCAAUUGCAGUGAACAGAUCUGAUAAGGCGGGAAUGCUGCUUGCUGAAGUGUUGCUGAAAGAAUUGCAAGGACACAGGCCUGUGACACUUAUAGGUUUUUCACUCGGAGCACGAGUGAUUUUUAAGUGCCUCCAGUUCUUGGCUGAGGCUGAACAUAAUGCUGAACUUGUUGAAAGAGUUGUUCUUUUUGGGGCACCUAUUUCAAUUAAAGAUGAGAACUGGGAAGCAGCUAGACAGGUAGUGGCUGGAAGAUUUGUGAAUGUUUAUUCUACAAAUGAUUGGAUGCUAGGAGUUGCUUUUCGUGCUAGCCUACUUUCUCAAGGAUUAGCUGGAAUUCAACCAAUUGAUGCUCCUGGAAUUGAGAAUGUUGAUGUAACAGAAGUCAUUGAAGGCCACUCUUCUUAUCUGUGGGUUACGCAGCAGAUCCUUGACCAACUUGAACUCGAUGACUAUAAUCCUGUUUCUUGUAGCGUUCUCAUCAAACAUUAGAAUGGGACUUGUUAACUAGUUCAGCUCAAUUCUUCCUUUUCUCAUUCUCCGAGUGAGAGCACUUUUUCAUUUUCAAAUUCCUCAGCAACAGAAGCAUAGAUAUGGUAGCAAGAGAACUUGUACCUGGUCAUGCCUAUCUUAUGAAUUCAGGAAUAAACAAAGACCCUUGGCGGUAUAUUCACUGAAUAUUUGAGGAUUCUAUUCCCAAAGAAUGAAGAAGUUUUUGCUCAUUUCAAGAAUUUGGAAGAGGAUGCAUAUACUUUUAUAUUUUGAUUUUCAUAUUCUUUACUAGAGUCAGCUCUGCAAAUAAAUGUGUCCGCGAAGGCUUGAUGAUGUAUGUUUCCAGUAAACUAAGCUUCCGAAUGUGCUAUUUUGAUAUUGUUUAUCAUUUCAAGAAUUAACCUCUAACUUAUAGCCAAUGUUUCUUGUCUGGUAAAUGUUUUUAUCAAAUACUUUUAGGUGCCCACAAGUUAGGCCUUCGUGACACAACAAAGCUGCUAUCUUGUCCUAGUGAAGAUUUUUGCUUACUAUCGAGAAACAAAUUAUUUUUGUCUAUUUGUGAGGCGUU